GCAAAAAUUACUUUUCACCCAGGCAGGGUAUUUAGGCAUUCUACAGCGGCAUAGAUGAAACCUCUAAACUAUGUUUAUAACACAAAAUAGUUUCUUCAGUCUGUCAAUGUGUACCAUAAUGACAUCUACUCCUUAAAUUAAUAUCUUUUGGUACAUUCUAUCAAUAAUUUUCAGCCAAAAUCUUGUAUUUGGAUUCUAAGAUGUCCCAUUU
RNAcentral lists this unclassified non-coding RNA (211 nucleotides) under Hevea brasiliensis (rubber tree). Lineage: Eukaryota; Viridiplantae; Streptophyta; Magnoliopsida; Malpighiales; Euphorbiaceae. The record is from RNAcentral.